GACAACUUGUCCGAGUGGUUAAGGAGAUGGCCUGCUAAGCCAUUGUGCUUUGCACGCGCGUGUUCGAAUCACGUAGUUGUCG
Non-coding RNA from Cunninghamella echinulata, 82 nucleotides. The record is from the annotation of a GenBank genome assembly. Lineage: Eukaryota; Fungi; Mucoromycota; Mucoromycetes; Mucorales; Cunninghamellaceae.